Molecule: ribosomal RNA, 689 nt
Filed under: Lactobacillus crispatus
Lineage: Bacteria; Bacillati; Bacillota; Bacilli; Lactobacillales; Lactobacillaceae
Description: bacterial SSU rRNA
Rfam family: Bacterial small subunit ribosomal RNA
Source: RNAcentral
UCGAGCGAGCGGACUAACAGAUUUACUUCGGUAAUGACGUUAGGAAAGCGAGCGGCGGAUGGGUGAGUAACACGUGGGGAACCUGCCCCAUAGUCUGGGAUACCACUUGGAAACAGGUGCUAAUACCGGAUAAGAAAGCAGAUCGCAUGAUCAGCUUUUAAAAGGCGGCGUAAGCUGUCGCUAUGGGAUGACCCCGCGGUGCAUUAGCUAGUUGGUAAGGCAAAGGCUUACCAAGGCGAUGAUGCAUAGCCGAGUUGAGAGACUGAUCGGCCACAUUGGGACUGAGACACGGCCCAAACUCCUACGGGAGGCAGCAGUAGGGAAUCUUCCACAAUGGACGCAAGUCUGAUGGAGCAACGCCGCGUGAGUGAAGAAGGUUUUCGGAUCGUAAAGCUCUGUUGUUGGUGAAGAAGGAUAGAGGUAGUAACUGGCCUUUAUUUGACGGUAAUCAACCAGAAAGUCACGGCUAACUACGUGCCAGCAGCCGCGGUAAUACGUAGGUGGCAAGCGUUGUCCGGAUUUAUUGGGCGUAAAGCGAGCGCAGGCGGAAGAAUAAGUCUGAUGUGAAAGCCCUCGGCUUAACCGAGGAACUGCAUCGGAAACUGUUUUUCUUGAGUGCAGAAGAGGAGAGUGGAACUCCAUGUGUAGCGGUGGAAUGCGUAGAUAUAUGGAAGAACACCAGUGGCGAA